GGGUUGUGAGGUUAAGCGACUAAGCGUACACGGUGGAUGCCCUGGCAGUCAGAGGCGAUGAAGGACGUGCUAAUCUGCGAUAAGCGCCGGUAAGGUGAUAUGAACCGUUAUAACCGGCGAUUUCCGAAUGGGGAAACCCAGUGUGACUCGUCACACUAUCAUUAACUGAAUCCAUAGGUUAAUGAGGCGAACCGGGGGAACUGAAACAUCUAAGUACCCCGAGGAAAAGAAAUCAACCGAGAUUCCCCCAGUAGCGGCGAGCGAACGGGGAGGAGCCCAGAGCCUGAAUCAGCAUGUGUGUUAGUGGAAGCGUCUGGAAAGGCGCGCGAUACAGGGUGACAGCCCCGUACACAAAAGCGCAUGUGCUGUGAGCUCGAUGAGUAGGGCGGGACACGUGGUAUCCUGUCUGAAUAUGGGGGGACCAUCCUCCAAGGCUAAAUACUCCUGACUGACCGAUAGUGAACCAGUACCGUGAGGGAAAGGCGAAAAGAACCCCGGCGAGGGGAGUGAAAAAGAACCUGAAACCGUGUACGUACAAGCAGUGGGAGCACAGGUUUACC
RNAcentral lists this ribosomal RNA (560 nucleotides) under Salmonella enterica. RNAcentral's name for it is "partial 23S ribosomal RNA". It matches the Rfam family "Bacterial large subunit ribosomal RNA", at positions 1 to 589 of the family's 2925-position model. Lineage: Bacteria; Pseudomonadati; Pseudomonadota; Gammaproteobacteria; Enterobacterales; Enterobacteriaceae. The record is from RNAcentral.